Molecule: ribosomal RNA, 497 nt
Filed under: uncultured bacterium
Lineage: Bacteria
Description: partial 16S ribosomal RNA
Rfam family: Bacterial small subunit ribosomal RNA
Source: RNAcentral
GAUGAACGCUGGCGGCGUGCCUAAUACAUGCAAGUCGAGCGAACAGACGAGGAGCUUGCUCCUCUGACGUUAGCGGCGGACGGGUGAGUAACACGUGGAUAACCUACCUAUAAGACUGGGAUAACUUCGGGAAACCGGAGCUAAUACCGGAUAAUAUAUUGAACCGCAUGGUUCAAUAGUGAAAGACGGUUUUGCUGUCACUUAUAGAUGGAUCCGCGCCGCAUUAGCUAGUUGGUAAGGUAACGGCUUACCAAGGCGACGAUGCGUAGCCGACCUGAGAGGGUGAUCGGCCACACUGGAACUGAGACACGGUCCAGACUCCUAAGGGAGGCAGCAGUAGGGAAUCUUCCGCAAUGGGCGAAAGCCUGACGGAGCAAAGCCGCGUGAGUGAUGAAGGUCUUCGGAUCGUAAAACUCUGUUAUUAGGGAAGAACAAAUGUGUAAGUAACUAUGCACGUCUUGAAGGUACCUAAUCAGAAAGCCACUGCUAACUACGUG